UUAAGUUCAGCGGGUAUCCCUACCUGAUCCGAGGUCAACCUUAAGAAGUUGGGGUUCUGGUGUGCACCUAUAGGGCCCAAAAGCGAGAAGAAUUACUACGCUUAGAGCCUAACAGGCACCACCAUUGGUUUUAAGGGCCGCUAGAAGGCGAACCCCAAGACCACGCAAGAGCGUGAUGGGUUGUAAAUGACGCUCGGACA
This 200-nucleotide unclassified non-coding RNA is filed under the name fungal sp. Its description in RNAcentral is "partial internal transcribed spacer 2". Lineage: Eukaryota; Fungi. The record is from RNAcentral.